This 1841-nucleotide long non-coding RNA is filed under the name Homo sapiens (human). RNAcentral describes it as "non-protein coding INKA2-AS1:18". The record is from RNAcentral. Lineage: Eukaryota; Metazoa; Chordata; Mammalia; Primates; Hominidae.
CUUUUCUCCCCGAAGAGGACCCUGGGAAGGUGGCUCCCGCCUCACUCCUAGAGUGAAAUCCUCGCAGCCCUGCCCUCGCGGGCGGAGCAGAGACGCCGCCGCUUGGCCGGUUCACGCCUGUCACACAAAGCCGCCGAGGGUCGGCUGCGCCCCUGGCAAGGCUGUAGGGCUGGGGAUACUGAGUAUGACAGGCGAGGUCCCUGCUCUCAAGAACUUACAUGGGAGAGAAGGGGAGACAAGAUAAACAGGUAAACACACACACACACACGAUGGAGCAACUCAACCCAAAAAGGUUGGUCUGUAUGGUGACGGAAUGUGGUCUCCCAGUUUUCAGCACAGCACUCAUUCAGCUAUUCUGCUCUUCAGAAAGCAGGAGGGAUGUGCCCUAAGGUGGACUAUUGAAAUGAUGAAAGCCACUGAGGAAGAGCCAGAGAAUUCUCGUAGCUGUGAUUAGACAUCAACCUUGGGCAUGCUAAACAUUUCAGCCUGGACACCCUGAGAAGAGCCAGUGCCACUGGUGACAGCUGCUUCUGUGCGGGCUUUUGCUUGGCCAGAGAGGCAGGACCUUCUCCCUGGCAUUUUGAGGAGUGGUGCCGGGUGGGCAGUGACUGCACUAGCAACAGUCUAUACCAAGAGAAGACCUCAAAUUCCCAGAGAAGAAAGGCAGCGAGGCCAAGAAAUGCUGCCGCCGCUUAACAAGUGAAGAUGCAUACUGGAGAAUAGGAACUGAACACGCGAAGGAGUUUCGGCUUUACUGCCUUCUCUCCUAGCAUUGAACAGAUCUUCUCUGCUGUUGAUUAUUCUCCAUGAAUCAUCAUCCAUAGAAAGUGACUGAGGCAAUAGAGAGUGAAUAAUGAAUCUCUCAAAUAGUCUUUUGUGUUUCUGCCUGGAGGGUUUUGGAAAUAACUUGCAUCUUAAUCUUUCUGACUUAGAAUCAUAGAAUUUGGGAGCUGAAAAGGACCUUCAUCAGGGCAUGUGGCCUCACAGAAAGACUGGAAGAAAAGAUUUGUGGGUAUGAGCCUCUGGUUCAUCACUAAAAAUAGGCCUAGUCUAACAUAUAUUGGAGGCUUUCCUUGUGUCAGGUACUCAUUUAUUCUUCCAAAACCUUGGGAGGUAGGUGCUGCUAUUCCUCCAUUCUGCAGAGGAGGAAGAGAUGAGGAGACAGUAGAUCACCAGAGGGCAGUGUGAGGGGUGUGCUGGAACCAUCAUGUGGAACUGGCUCUGGUUCCAGAAUCCACAUCCUCUCGGUCAUUCCACUCCCACAUCAAGUGGCUUUGGACAAGUAAUUUAACUUCUUUGGAUCUCAGUUUUCUCCUCCGUGAUCUCUAAAGUUUAAAAAUUACUAACAGUCUGCAUCUGCCACCCAAGCAUGUGAUUUUACAAGUCAGAAAAGUGUAGCGCAGAAAUGUUAAGUGACCUGCCCUAGGUCACCCAGGUUGCUAAGGGCAGAAUCAGCACAGAAACCCAGGCCCAGUGACCACUGCCCCCAGGCAAGACCUCCUUCCCUUCCACUGCACUUUGGCAGGUGUUCUAGGGGAAUCCAACUCCUUGCCUUAGAGGAGACCUGUUCAAUGAUAUCAGAUAGACUGGAGAUGUUACGUUUUGGUGUGGCCAAUCACAACACCAGGAUGAGCUUAGGAGGCUGGUGAUAUUUGUCUAUCUAAGCACCCCCAACCUAUCUAUCUGUCUGCUGUUUGUCUAUCUUUCUCAGGUUAUGCAUAGUGACCAAACCCCGCCUGGUAACUGUAGGGAAAGAGCAUGACUGGUGUGUUACAGCUACACACGCCCCCUGGUGGUAUUUCCAGUUGUUUGUCCUCUUCAUGCAAAUGUUGCCACCUUGU